This is a long non-coding RNA of Poecilia reticulata (guppy), 588 nucleotides long. RefSeq lists it as uncharacterized. NCBI's taxonomy places the organism in Eukaryota, Metazoa, Chordata, Actinopteri, Cyprinodontiformes, Poeciliidae. The record is from RefSeq and is a predicted model, not a curated record.
CGCGGGCUUGUCGUUACGGAGACGUUUCGGCAAACUAUAAAAAGCRAAGGUCGAAAAGAAUUAKCUUUAAUUUUCCGUAGAGAAACCCCGAUGAGUGGCUCCAAAUGAAAUACAAAAUGUGAGAUGGGAGAACAAGGGGGUUUGGUGGCGACGCAUCACGAGGAUCCUUGGUUCGAACCCCCAGCUUGGUCUUCCUGCGUGGAGUUUUCAUGAGUGAGUCCUCUCUGGAUGCUAACUAACAGUGGGGGAACAAAUGCUUCCCUUCCCCAGUUACUUCCUCCUGCUCCUCCAGGGAGACGCUGAGCCGCCCAAUGACAAGUGGGAGAUAAAGGCYGUUCUGCCCGGUAACAGAGAAACGCCUACAACUGCACCACAUCUCCUCGAAUUAGUUCACCUGCCUCCUUUGUCAUCUUCCACCCCCACCACCUCAGUCUGUCAGCUCUCUGUUCUUUCCGCUACAUCACCUGUUCUCUCUCCUGCUCUUCCUGCAAUUUACCUUCGGGUUUUCAGUCGGACGUUUGCUGCGGUUCUGUGUUGGCACCGACCGGAUGGGACACGAGGCAGCGGCUUCUCUCCUGCACUUUGGCG